GAUGAACGCUGGCGGCGUGCUUAACACAUGCAAGUCGAACGAAGCACUUUAUUUGAUUUCCUUCGGACCUGAUUAUUUUGUGACUGAGUGGCGGACGGGUGAGUAACGCGUGGGUAACGUGCCAUUUACAGGGGGAUAACAGUUGGACACGGCAGCUAAUACCGCAUAAGCGCACAGCAUCGCAUGAUGCAGUGUGAAAAACUCCGGUGGUAUACGAUGGACCCGCGUUGGAUUAGCAAGUUGGGGAGUUAAAGGCCCACCAAGGCGACGAUGCAUAGCCGAGCUGUGAGAGACACCGCCCACUCCGGCAGUGGGCCGCGGCCCAAACUCUUACGGGAGGCGGCAGUGGGUAAUAUUGCACAACCGGCGAAAGCCUGAAGCAGCGACGCUGGGUGAGCUAAGAAGUAUUUCAGUAUGUAAAGCGCAAGCAGCAGGGAAGAUAAUGACGGUACCUGACUAAGAAGCACCGGCUAAAUACGUG
This 481-nucleotide ribosomal RNA is filed under the name uncultured bacterium. Its description in RNAcentral is "partial 16S ribosomal RNA". It matches the Rfam family "Bacterial small subunit ribosomal RNA", at positions 28 to 507 of the family's 1533-position model. The record is from RNAcentral.